UCUCAUCAACUGAGGCACAAAUAACUUAGGCCCCAUUUGCAGCAACACCUCCCUUCGAGAAACAGUCAAAGACGUGUAGGUAUUGUACUACCUAGGAGAUGAUGGUUUUCGAGCCCUUCUCGGAAGACUCCGGGAUCGAUGAUUUCGACUCCCGUUAUUCCACCUCUGGGGCAGGGAUCGGGAGCGCUGGCGACUUUUCUCUUCGCACCUUGGAUGGUGCUCCUUAUUGGAUCCCGCCACGGUUGAAUCAGCAGUAGUAUCAUCGGCAAAGGCCUCUUUCAUGCGGACAUACUUCUCUACACGGACAAGCAUAUCUGGGAGAUCUCGAGGAUAAAUUUUAACUAACG
Molecule: long non-coding RNA, 347 nt
Filed under: Elaeis guineensis (African oil palm)
Lineage: Eukaryota; Viridiplantae; Streptophyta; Magnoliopsida; Arecales; Arecaceae
Description: long non-coding RNA (EGUI_LNC011390)
Source: RNAcentral